CCUACGGGUGGCAGCAGUAGAGAAUCAUUCACAAUGAGGGAAACCCUGAUGGUGCGACGCCGCGUGGGGGAAUAAAGGUCUUCGAAUUGUAAACCCCUGUCAUGUGGGAGCAAAUUAAAAAGAGAGUACCACAAGAGACAGAGAGGGCUAACUCUGUGCCAGCAGCCGCGGUAAUACAGAGGUCUCAAGCGUUGUUCGGAAUCACAAGGCGUAAAGCGUGCGUUGGCGGUUUCGGAAGUCGUGUGGGAAAGGUGCGGGCUCAACCCGCGGACUGCAUAUGAGACUGUGCGACUAGAGUAAUGAUGGGGGAACCGGAAUUCUCGGUGUAGCAGGUAAAUGCGGAGAUAUCGAGAGGAACAAUCGUGGCGAAGGCGGGUUCCUUGACAUUAACUGACGCUGAGGCACGAAGGCCAGGGGAGCGAAAGGGAUUAGAUACCCCUGGUAGUC
Molecule: ribosomal RNA, 447 nt
Filed under: uncultured bacterium
Lineage: Bacteria
Description: partial 16S ribosomal RNA
Rfam family: Bacterial small subunit ribosomal RNA
Source: RNAcentral